Mycena alexandri is the source of this 96-nucleotide non-coding RNA. The record is from the annotation of a GenBank genome assembly. Lineage: Eukaryota; Fungi; Basidiomycota; Agaricomycetes; Agaricales; Mycenaceae.
CACCUGAUAGCACAUGGUGUGUGUGUGCACCUGUGAAAUGUGUGUGCUUUCAACAUCUUUAACUAGAAGGCUCCGGUUCAAACCCGGGUUGGGUGG